RNAcentral lists this ribosomal RNA (254 nucleotides) under uncultured bacterium. Its description in RNAcentral is "partial 16S ribosomal RNA". It matches the Rfam family "Bacterial small subunit ribosomal RNA", at positions 524 to 777 of the family's 1533-position model. The record is from RNAcentral.
UACGAAGGGGGCUAGCGUUGUUCGGAUUUACUGGGCGUAAAGCGCACGUAGGCGGAUCGUUAAGUCGGGGGUGAAAUCCUGGAGCUCAACUCCAGAACUGCCUUCGAUACUGGCGAUCUUGAGUCCGGAAGAGGUGAGUGGAACUCCUAGUGUAGAGGUGGAAUUCGUAGAUAUUAGGAAGAACACCAGUGGCGAAGGCGGCUCACUGGUCCGGUACUGACGCUGAGGUGCGAAAGCGUGGGGAGCAAACAGGG